Molecule: long non-coding RNA, 462 nt
Organism: Juglans microcarpa x Juglans regia
Lineage: Eukaryota; Viridiplantae; Streptophyta; Magnoliopsida; Fagales; Juglandaceae
Exons: 2
Source: RefSeq, a predicted model, not a curated record
AGCAAGUGUUUAGGAGAGGAGAGAAAGAGGGAGACCUAAAAGUGAAGAUCUAACAAAACAGAUCAGGAUACCAUAAACUCCUGAACCAAGCCAAAUGGAGAAGAGAACAGAGAGGGAGGGAGGGAGGGACUAAAAGAAGUGGAUAAACUUCAGUGUACCAAAACCACCACAGGAAAAUUUCAAGUAAAAUCAGAAGCACAAAGAACCAGCUCAAAGCACAAAUCACAUUCCAAGCCAAAAUGGGGGUUAGAUGUAAAGCAUUACCUUCCAAAAAUGUAGCUGCAAAAGCAGGACCAGUAAGCAACAAGAAGGAAGCAGCAAGCAAAAGUGUGAUUUUCACUUCCAUGGCAAAGCACUGGGAAGAGAGAGUGAGAGAGUUGUAAUGGACUUGGUGUAAGAGAGAUGAGAUGCCGGCCCUAGUAUUUAUAUUGGAAAUGGGAAAAAAAGUGGGAAAUGAGGAAG